This is a regulatory RNA element of Erwinia sp., 76 nucleotides long. It matches the Rfam family "ABC transporter regulator". From Rfam's summary of the family: DapZ sRNA, encoded in the 3'-UTR of the conserved dapB gene, as a translational repressor with a GcvB-like seed domain. This is the first example of a widely conserved bacterial gene whose 3'-UTR has dual function. NCBI's taxonomy places the organism in Bacteria, Pseudomonadati, Pseudomonadota, Gammaproteobacteria, Enterobacterales, Erwiniaceae. The record is from Rfam.
GUGAGCCAUGUGAUGUGGUUAUUUCGAUCGUAACUUUUUGAUUGAAAGGGCAAUAUGUUAUUGCCCUUUAUUUUUA